GGGCUUGUGGUUUAGUGGUAUAAUUUUCCCUUAGCAUAUGACAUCCAUCGUCGGGCGUGGGAAAGGUCCUGGGUUCGAUUCCCAGCAAGUCCA
Polyplosphaeria fusca is the source of this 93-nucleotide non-coding RNA. NCBI's taxonomy places the organism in Eukaryota, Fungi, Ascomycota, Dothideomycetes, Pleosporales, Tetraplosphaeriaceae. The record is from the annotation of a GenBank genome assembly.